UAAAUCCUGCUGAGGUAUAUACAACUCUACAAGCUGGUUCUCAAAUCCUUUUUUUGGAACGAGACUGAAGGAUUUCUGCAUAAAUAAUCAUAGUGGAAUUUUCAAGAUAUUUCAACGGUCUGUGGUGGCCAAAUAUGUGGAAUUGAGGCUGUUCCAGUAAAUCUGGAAUGAAUUGACACUCUAUCCACAGAGUAUGAAACUGUGUGUAGAGUAUGCAUGUGCGCGCGCGUGCACACACACACACAUACACACACACACACACACACAGGAAGAAUUCUUUUCUUGUCCAGACACUGGCAUUGGCAGUGAAACCAUCCAUUCCAAACCAAAGGAGCCCCCUCACCAAUGGCCUUGCCGCCCAGGAACCCUGCAGGGCAGAAGUUGGGGAGGGGAUAGCAGUCUGAAUAGCGGUCUUGGAUGGCUGGAAGCUGGCACCUGUGAACAAGCACCCAUGAUGGUGAUGCAUCCGGAACCAGGCUGCCCAGCCAACCAGUGCUUUCCCACCGGAGCUUUUGCUCUGGGCUCCUCUGCCGUUGAUUUCCCAGGUCCCGCCUUGCAUUUUCUCCCUCAUCUUCACAUGUGGGGAGCCCCUGACCGGCUGCUGAAGACCCCCAGACAAGCCUUCAGCUUCCAGAUCAUGGAAGGCAGCAUGGGGAGGCAGGAGACCCCUGGGAGGGCGGAGCAUGACUUUUGUCCAGGAGGCUGGACUACCGACUUCAGCAGGCUCUGGUUGGCUCUGGAGGACAUCCCUCAAGAAGUGCUGGCAGAUGUUAGAUUCCCGCCACCUGGAGGCCUGACCUCACCUGAGGGCAUCCCUGCCUGUCCAUGUCUUUUGACUGGGUGGGCAGCCCUGCCUACCUCUCUGCAGCUUCAAACACCAGCCGCUUCCACUCAGAGACACUCAAAAUGUGUCGAGGGAGGUUGUCCUCUGGACUCCUGGGAAUUGACCACCAGCAUGCGCUGCUCCGCUGACAAGGGAAAGGGCCCUCUGGCCCGCACAGCAUGGAUAUGGGCAGAACGGUUUUUCCUAACUAGGCCUUCUGGGUUGCAGCAGAACAGCAUGUGUCUGCUUCUCAAAUGUAACAGGACAAGAUGUUCAGGUCUUGUGUCCUCUGUGAAGCAGGGCUGCAAGGACCCCUUACCAAGGAGAAGAUUGUCUCUGGAAACUGCGAAAUCUGACCAGAAGGCCCUUAGCCUCCCAGGCUCUGUAGCUUCUGCAGUGAUGAGGCCUGGCCACCAGAUGGCUCCACAGAGGCCACUGCUCUCUCAGGGAAGAGGAGGCUGGGAAGAUCCAGGGGAGGACAUGGAAUUGGAUUCUCACCUGGGGAAGCUGUGA
RNAcentral lists this long non-coding RNA (1336 nucleotides) under Bos grunniens (domestic yak). RNAcentral's name for it is "lncRNA (ENSBGRG00000024141.1)". The record is from RNAcentral. Lineage: Eukaryota; Metazoa; Chordata; Mammalia; Artiodactyla; Bovidae.